CACGAAUAUACCGGUUCUCGUUAGAUCACCGAAGUCAAGCAUCAUUGGGCGCGGUCAGUACUUGGGAGGGUGACCACCUGGGAACACCGUGUGC
This 94-nucleotide ribosomal RNA is filed under the name Caerostris darwini. The record is from RNAcentral. Lineage: Eukaryota; Metazoa; Arthropoda; Arachnida; Araneae; Araneidae.